GUCUUUGGAUACAGCGUCUCUCUCAUUUCUUUUCCUUCCUUCUCGCUCUUUCUUCCACACCCUCUAAUGUCUCAUGCAUGGUCCCCAUCUUGGGUCUCUCUCUGUGGCAUCCUAAGUUUUCCAGAUAAAACGUCCACUCACCAAUUCCCUCUUCAGUUGAUCUGUCUGCAGUUUAGCUAGUCACUCCCAUCUCAGUCUCUCUCUGCCUCUCCACACUCUCUCCACCAGCCUCUUACUUGCCUUUUCUCCUCAGCUCCUCCAGAGAAGCUGGGCUUUCUGCCCUGAGGCCUUUGUAUGUGCUGUUAGCUCUGCCUGGCAGAUCGCUGUCACCCAGCCUCCUUCUGGCUGCUGCUUCCUGUUCAUUCCUUGUUCUCAGCGACCUUACCCUGAGCCUCUGGGAAACUAGCUGGAUGAGAUGCUUCCUACUUCACUUGUUCAAGUCCCCUCUGAUUUCAUUUAGGUGACACUCCUCUGCCAUUCAUGGGCAUUUUUUCUCAAAAUUUUAUUUUCCUCUUGGUGGGAAAUUCCUGAAGGGCUACGCCUACCCCGUCUUCCCAGCACCUGGCUCAGAGAUGCGCACCUAGCAGCCUCUUCAAAGGAGGAUGACAUUUAUGGAUACAAGACUGAAAUCAGCCAACAGAGUCCGGCUGAAGGGUCACAUGCAGCUCCAUGAUGUCACCUGUGUCAUCUCCCUCGAGCCAAUAUCCUGACCUUUCCCAUCCAGGAGGCAAGGCUCCUGAGCGCCAGAGUCAUGACCUACACAAGUCCACCCUCCACGCUGAGACCUCUGAGCUGCUGGCAGUCUUCAUUCUCUCUACACACACAUCAGCAUAUUUUUGCCAUUUAAACACCAACUGAGACCGGCCAUGGGAGCUGUGUUCCAGUCCCGGGGGAGGAAGUCCGACUGGUGCACCCCCAUCCAGUCUACCUGUGGUGGGGUGACUGAGCACUAAGCCCACUCUCCACUCCGUCAGUAUUUCUGCCCAUCCCUGCUUCUAAGAUCGCCAUUCAACGGUCACCGUGCUGAGGCAGGAUCUGGAGAAGCUGUCACCCAGCUGGCUUCUACUGUUUUCUUUUUCCUACUGGCUUUUGUUUCCAGUUUUUGGGGUCCUCAGCUCUGGGUAAAGUCCUGCUUAACACCAAAUGGGAGCCUGUGUGCUCCAGGAAGCGGAGAGAGGACUGAGGAAGGGGACCCUCAUGUCAUCUUUGAUUCCUCUGGACCACAUGUGCUGAGGGCAUCCUGGAAGUGACAAGAAGUGGAUGGGAAAAUGGUGCUCUCUUGGCUCAGUGCUUCUCAAUCACGCCUGAAAAUUCCUCUGAAAAGGAUUCCUCUGAAAAUUCUGGCUGGCUUUGGUGGAGCUGGGUUCAGGCAUCACAGAAUUUUAGUACCACCCUGGUGAUUCUAGUGUGUAUCCAGGAUUGGGAACGUCUAUCUUGGGCUUCCUUGGUGGCUCAGUAGUAAGGAAUCUGCCUGCUAAUGCAGGAGACACGGGUUGACAUGGGUUUGAUCCUUGGGUGGGGAAGAUCCCCUGGAGAAGGAAAGGCAAUCCACUCCAGGAUUCUUGCCUAAAAAACCUCAUGGACAGAAAAGCCUGGUGGGCUACAGUCCAUGGUGUCGCAGAGUUGGACACAACUUAGCGGCUGAACAGCAACAUCUUGGCUCUGGUUUGUGGUUGUGAAAGAGAGUUAGAAAUGCCAGGGUGAGCUCCAAGGGUCAGCUCCCAGAGAAAAUGGCUUGUCUUUUUGUCUGUCUCUUGC
Molecule: long non-coding RNA, 1758 nt
Organism: Bos taurus (domestic cattle)
Lineage: Eukaryota; Metazoa; Chordata; Mammalia; Artiodactyla; Bovidae
Source: Ensembl